AUAUCAAUCUGAAUAAAAUAUAAAAAAAAGAUAUGUUUUAUUUAAAUGUCUUGACCAAAUAUUGUGCCAGCAGUCGCGGCAAAACAAAUAAGACUAGUGUUAUUCAUCUUAAUUGGGUUUAAAAGUACCUAGACUGUAUAUUUAUCCAGAAAAUAGUGGUAUUAAUAUACUAGAGUUAUAAAUAUAGAGAAGGUUUAUGAACUUUAAAUGUAGAGUUAAAAUUCAUUGACAUGUGUAAAGGACAGGUAAUAAUGAAAAUAUACCUUUAUAUGGUAACUGACGUUGAGGGACGAAGCCUUGGGUCGCGAAUAGGAUUAGAUACCCUAGUAGUCCAAGGAGAAAAUGAUGAGUGUCAUAAACUUGAUUUAAAGUUUAUAAAUGAAAGUGUAAGCAUUCUACCUUAAAAGUAAUAUGGCAACAUAGAAACUGAAAUCAUUAGACCGUCUUUGAAAUCAGUAGUGGGGUAUGUUAUUUAAUUCGAUUAUCCUCGAUAAAUCUUACCAACAACAUGUAUACAAUUAUUAUUUAAUUAUAAAUUAAUAUAAUAUAAUUAAUAAUUAAUUUUCUGAAAAGAAAAUAUACAAGAGCUGCAUGGCUGUCUUCAGUUUUUAUCGUGAGAUUUGGUUAGAUCCAAUUUAUUAACGUAUAACCCGCUCUUUAUUUAUUAUUAAUAAAGAUAAAAAUUGUUAUUAAUUAAUAAUUU
RNAcentral lists this ribosomal RNA (703 nucleotides) under Laboulbenia pedicellata. RNAcentral's name for it is "SSU rRNA". It matches the Rfam family "Bacterial small subunit ribosomal RNA", at positions 427 to 1169 of the family's 1533-position model. The record is from RNAcentral. Lineage: Eukaryota; Fungi; Ascomycota; Laboulbeniomycetes; Laboulbeniales; Laboulbeniaceae.